This 165-nucleotide non-coding RNA is filed under the name uncultured Prevotella sp. Lineage: Bacteria; Pseudomonadati; Bacteroidota; Bacteroidia; Bacteroidales; Prevotellaceae. The record is from RNAcentral.
CGGCGACGCUGGGUCUGAAGGAAGUCGGCGGCAAAUCACUGGCCUGACGUACAGAAACUUGAUACCAAGGCGUUUGCCCGUGGGUGAGACUGCCAGAGAAGUCAAAGCCCGAUAGCUAUUCGGAACGGGUGGCGUAAAUCAAGCAGGUAUAAGUGUGAAAGAUUA